This 771-nucleotide long non-coding RNA is filed under the name Scophthalmus maximus (turbot). RNAcentral's name for it is "lncRNA (ENSSMAG00000022334.1)". The record is from RNAcentral. Lineage: Eukaryota; Metazoa; Chordata; Actinopteri; Pleuronectiformes; Scophthalmidae.
AUGAGGAUCAAUUCCCUCCGUCAGCUGUGCAGUGCUGGGCUCAUCCCUCCCCUCCGUCAGCCACAGGCGGAGGGUCUCGGUGUCCUCUCGCCUGACUUUGGUGUCAUUGACCUGUGGAGCACUGUGCUGCCACAAGAGGAGCAGUCAGGCUGCAUCCCUCCUCGGGUUUUUAGUUUCAGUGAAGCAACUGAAUCUGACUGUUUUGUGGAUGAGACACUUGAGCAGAAAGCAUGUGAGCACCAGCAAGAGGAAGCGCUGGGACGCUUCCCUCAAGGUGUCUCCUGUUCCCUGCUGACGGGCCUCCACCACGGCCCCCUGUCCGAGGAGCCUGUAGCCAGUGGCAAGCAGGACAGCAGCUCCGCCCUCAGCCCUGUGCGCAGCUUGAUUUCGAAUAGCUCUGCUCCUUCUGAAACCACCGACGAGAGCCCCCACAAAGCCCGACUAAAGACGGAUGAGACCUUUGUCCAGAGCGCCACUGCCAGGCUGGAUCAUUGCAAAGUGGGCUGCUGGUGGAAACAGGACACUGAGACCUGCGGAGCCUCCAGUGGCCUCUUAUCUGCUGCAGAACCAGCAGCCGCUUUCACAUCAGAUAAUCCUCUCGUUUUACGUCGGCCACAUUCAUACAGUCUGCUCACCUUUAUGGACAAAAGAGAUGGCAAACAGGCGGACAAAGAGGAGCCUGCAGGUUGGAGUUCUGGGACGGCGUCACAAGGCGCCAUACGAAAUGGAAGAAUGCGAUCGAGGAAAGGGAAACGAGUGAAGAGGGCAUGA